Molecule: small RNA, 382 nt
Filed under: Bacillus sp. FJAT-18017
Lineage: Bacteria; Bacillati; Bacillota; Bacilli; Caryophanales; Bacillaceae
Description: cspA thermoregulator
Rfam family: cspA thermoregulator
Source: Rfam by way of RNAcentral
UGUUAUUCUAAAUAAGAAUUAUUUUUGUUCGGUGUAAAGGAUGCAAAAAGUUCGACUUUUCGUCUUUUCGUCUUAAUGAUCACUUUGGGCAGGGAUAGUAAUACAAUGUGCUUUAGCACUAGGAGGCAACAAACAUGGAACAAGGUACAGUUAAAUGGUUUAACGCAGAAAAAGGUUUUGGAUUCAUCGAGCGCGAAGGUGGAGAAGAUGUAUUCGUUCAUUUCUCUGCAAUCCAAUCUGAAGGUUUCAAAUCAUUAGACGAAGGUCAAAAAGUAACUUUCGACGUUGAGCAAGGUGCACGUGGACCUCAAGCUGCAAACGUUCAAAAAGCUUAAUACUCUUAAAUGACCAAAACAGACCCCGUAAAAGGGUCUGUUUUUUU